Molecule: long non-coding RNA, 863 nt
Filed under: Piliocolobus tephrosceles (Ugandan red Colobus)
Lineage: Eukaryota; Metazoa; Chordata; Mammalia; Primates; Cercopithecidae
Description: lncRNA (ENSPTEG00000014958.1)
Source: RNAcentral
UUUAUUAAUUUGCGCUUCUUUUUUUUUUUAUUUAACAACAUUUUAAAUGGAAAAAAAAGUAAAAAAAAUGUUUUAUUUAUUAUUAGUAGCAUAGUUAAAAAUAUAUUUACUAAAAAAUGCUGAAAAAAAAUAUAUAUAUAUUUUUUUUUUUUUAAAUCAUGGUAUAUUCCAUUUAAUACCCCUUUUUCAACCAAGCUAUUUUUGUUACAUAUCUAAUAUUGUAGUAAUGAGGAGCUGCUGUUGUACUUACUAAAGGUAGUUGUUCUCCAACUCACAAACCCACGCAUACAGGAGAAAAGAAGCCAAAAGUUGAUGUACAUAGUUUAAUUAAAGAUCUUAUUUCAAAGGAAGAGGCAGCGCAUGAAUUAAAGAAGUCAAACACAAUAUGUAAAAUCAUUGCUACAAUUUUGGGAAUACUAGCUACUGUUGCAACAAUCGCUGCUGGUUUUAUGGCAUAUAGAUGUAUUAAAAACAAGAAAAACCAGGAGGAUCAUCGCAGUAAAAACGAUUUGGAUAGUAAUAAUGAUGGUGAUAGUGGUGGUGGAAAUGAUAAGAAGGAAUUACUUCCAAAAUAUAAAUGAUGUAAUAUCUUUACUGAUACAAGGAUAAACACUGAUAAGGAUAGUUUAAGUAAUAGAUUCUUGAAUUUAUGUAAAGUAAGCUACAAAAUAUAUUUUAUAUUAGUUAUUAUGUUUCUAAGCACCACCAUAUAUAUUUUUAUUAUUUAUAUAAAGAAAUGUUUCAUGUACAUAUAUAUUAAUAAGUACUUAUUUUGUGAAAAUGUCAUCCCUCUUUUAAGAUAAUAAUCUAAUUUUUUAUUAUAUUUUACUAAUAAAAUGUAUUUGGUUGUAGUGAUUUUAACA